This is a non-coding RNA of Castor canadensis (American beaver), 1192 nucleotides long. The record is from RefSeq and is a predicted model, not a curated record. Lineage: Eukaryota; Metazoa; Chordata; Mammalia; Rodentia; Castoridae.
AACCCCUAAAGACCUUUUUCUAACUUAGGACUUUUUUUUUGGUGGUAUUGGGGUUUGAACUCAGGGCUUUGCACGUGCUAGGCAAGUGCUCUAUCACCUGAGCCAUGCCCUCAGCCCCCUAAAGAGCUUUUUCUAGACCUGUGUAGCCAGGGGGCGCCAAGACAGAAGGAAGUGGCAGAUUGGCAAAGUGAGACCUGGACUGGCGAGGCGAAUCCAGGUGUGACAGGAAGAACUCCCCAGAGACCCUCAGAAUGUGCUGUAUAUGCCCAUCCUGCCUGAGAGAUGUGAGCCUCUCAAGUAGCCAGGCGUGAGCCACCAGCGCCUUACCCUAUGGAAUAUUGCCUGUGACCCUCACCAGCUGGAGCUGCGCGCUCUUUCCUCUUCUCCCCAGCCCCAGGCAUCAUGACAGUCGUUUUCUGGGCAAGGCCCUCACCAACAGUUAGCCACAGUCUGGGAGCCUCAGCAAGCCUUGGCAGACUCCCAUGGUUUGCCACCACCCUCUGCGCCCUGCCUGUCUACUAACAUGGGACAUGCCAGGUUCAGGAGCUACUCCACCAGGAGAACACGCUCCUUUAGGUCCCCCAGGAUCCCAGGUGGACAGAAUGGUGGGUUAGGUAGGCACGCAGUGUCUGCAAGCGUCACAACGGUAGGUGCCCUUGGCCGUGCCCGUUGGCACACCGGGCCCUUGGAAGGCUGCUUGGUCCUGGAGUGCUGGCGGCCUCCUGGUCCAGUGCCCCACUUCCUCCUGGAGCGAGGGGGGAAGGCAGUGGGAACCGGUGGGAGCAGAUGCUCAGGCUGGGAGCGGCUGCGUAGGCUCCGAGCCCUCCUGGGGCAGCCGCUCUCGUGGUGUUGUGUUCACAAAGCGCUCUGGAAGGGUUCGCUCUUACGAUUGGGCCCUUCCCACUGCUGCAGACCAGAGUUCAGGCCUGGAGUCCGGACCCUAAGCCCUGGCGUCCGGAUGAGGGGAACAUGGUGAAGCUGACAUAACGCAGGGAUGAGAACCACAUCCGAUUCUGCGGGAUCUCAACUCCUGGCCAGUUUCUGCCGGUUCUAGUCGUGCACGCUCCGCCCUUCUCGCAUGUUAAGCACAAAAGUACCCACAUGUGACAUCUCGGCUCACCGCCCGCCCCGCCCUGCCCUUCCUCGCUCCGCCCGGCCUCACCCAUCCGCUCCCACAGCUAGAUCCCGCUGA